This 612-nucleotide long non-coding RNA is filed under the name Populus trichocarpa (black cottonwood). RNAcentral describes it as "long non-coding RNA (PTRI_LNC000790)". The record is from RNAcentral. Lineage: Eukaryota; Viridiplantae; Streptophyta; Magnoliopsida; Malpighiales; Salicaceae.
CUGGUAAGGAUCUUGAAGGCGAGAAAGAGGGUUAUAGCAAUGCAGAAUGGCAAGAGAGGGUGGAGAAAUGGAAAGUUAGGCAAGAAAAGAGAGGUUUGGUGAGCAAAGAUGAUGGAGGAAAUGAUCAAGGAGAAGAAGAUGAGUACCUGUGAGUGUUUUUUGCAUCCUCAUCUUCUUCUUUGCAUUAAGAUGGUUCUGCUAUCGAUACUAACAACAUACUUUUACAGCAUGGCUGAAGCCAGGCAACCACUAUGGAGAAAAAUCCCAAUUCCCUCAAGCAGAAUCAACCCGUAUCGAAUUGUCAUUGUCCUUCGACUUAUCAUUCUUUGCUUCUUUUUCCGUUUUCGGAUCUUAACUCCAGCAUACGAUGCUUAUGCAUUGUGGCUUAUCUCUGUAAUAUGUGAGGUAUGGUUUGGCCUCUCCUGGAUCCUUGACCAGUUCCCAAAAUGGAACCCCAUUGAACGUGAAACUUAUCUUGAUCGCCUAUCCAUGAGGUUUGAGCGUGAGGGUGAGCCUAAUCGUCUGGGCCCAGUUGAUGUGUUUGUGAGUACUGUGGAUCCUCUCAAGGAACCACCAAUCAUAACUGCAAAUACAGUCCUUUCAAUCCUAUCC